AUGGCCGAAACACACAAUCCACCGGUCUUUUCCCCGAAAACUCUUUACCAAUCGAGCGUGUUGGCAAUCGCGAAUAAAUUUCUAAGGCUGAGGAAGUAUCUUCCUGAUCUACCGAACGAUGUCCUGUUUGAUGUUUAUUAUCAGUUGUACAAAGAAAAAAGAUUAUGUUUACUGGGGUGUGACUUCAACAAUCUGGAAAUCUUCUCCAAGAUGUUAACAGUCACUAGCCGUCGUGUACAUUUACUACAGAGCUUUCAGAGCCUUAUAGAUCAUAAAAUACGAGUUGAAGAAGAGUUGAGCAUGAGUUACACAGUAUGCUAUCUCCAUGUUAGUGAAAAUCCAGCUGCAGAUGAGAAAUUAAUAAACCUAGGCUUAAGAAUUGGUGGAUUUUUCAGUGAUGGUGGUUGGUAUGCUAAAAGUGAACAGGUGUUGCUAGCAUGCAAACAAUUAUGUCUUGCGAAUAAUUCAACGCCUCAGAAUUGGUGUAGAACAUUAGAAUGUUGCAGAAAGUUGUUACACGUACAAGCAGCGUAUUGCGAAUUUUUACAAGCUGCAAAAACACAUCAGCUUGCUAUAGAGUUAAUAGAACGAUUAAAAGAGGCCGGGUACAAUGAUUACAAUUAUGCAGCUAUAUAUACUGAGUUUAGUAUACUUUUUUAUAUGAAAAGCGAGUAUGAUGAGGCCUACAGAUGGAGUAUAGAAGCACUUGAAGAGUUGAAACCAGGGUUGUCUGCGCGUGUUACUGUUGAUGUGUUAAGGCAGGCGGCAAAAUCGUGUGUAUUAAAACGCGAGUUUCAGAGAGCUGGCCUUUUAAUCAGGCAGGCUGUAUAUCUUGCCAAAGAAGUAUUUGGUAUUGAUCAUCCAGUGUACAGUAACGUCCUUAUAGAUUAUGGAUUUUACUGGUUAAACUUUGAUAACAUAAUCAACAGUGUAAACCUUUAUAGGGACGCUUUAGCUAUUAGAACAGAAAUAUUUGGUAAAAUGAAUUUACACGUUGCGUUAGCGCACGAGGAUUUAGCUUAUGCUCUUUACGUAUUUGAGUAUAGGUCUGGCGAAUUUCCAGAAGCAAGUGUUCACAUUGAGAAAGCAAUAGACAUAAUGUUAAACCUUUUACAUGGGGAUCAUUUGUUGUUAGCAAGCGCAAAAAGAAUAAAUGCAUUAAUUCUCGAAGAAAUAGCGUUAGAUAAUACAUCGUCGCCAUUGUCGAAACAAAAUCUACUAUUCAAGGCUGAAUGCCUUCAUUUAUCCGCUUUACAAUCGGCAAAAGAGGCAUUCGGCGAAAGAAACGUACAAACAGCAAAACAUUAUGGAAAUUUGGGACGUGUGUAUCAAAGCAUGAGGAAAUGUAAGGAAGCCGAAGCAAUGCAUCUUAAAGCUAUACGUAUUAAAGAAGAAUUAUUAGGACCAGAUGAUCACGAAGUUGGAUUGAGUAUAGGACACUUAGCUUCGUUAUAUAAUUACCACAUGAACCGAUACAAAGACGCUGAGAAGCUUUAUUAUAGGAGUAUCGAAAUUAGUUUAAAAUUGUUCGGUAAAAGCUAUAGUGGCCUAGAAUAUGAUUAUCAUGGACUUUUAAACGUUUACACAAAACUGAACGAAUACCCCAAGGUUCUAAAAUAUGCAACAAUAUUAAAUAAUUGGAAAAUGUUAAGAGAUAAACACUUGGAAUCGGAAGAACCAACGAUUGAUCCUAAAAGACGGCCACAACCAAUAAAAGAAAUAAUCGAAACAUUCUUUUCUAUGUAAUAUAGCUGUAUAUUAAUGUUUUAAUAAUCACUGUCUCGCCGAUUGACGUAUAAUUGAUUCCAACUUUGUUGGAGUAACUCGGGCCAAAGUAUGAAUGAAAUCACGAGUUACGUUAUAUGACCCAGGAUACCGUAAAUCAUAUAUUUGGGGCAGUAUCGUUAAGAUUCUUCAAAAAUAGUCACAUGAACUUCGUGUUUCUUCUUUGUACCUCACCAUUUUAUGACUUACAAGAUAUUAAACAAAAAUUCUCAAAUACUACUUGGUUUAUCGGAUAACUAUAACUACAAUUAUUUUUAUAAAAUCUAAUUGUAUUUUUUAUUCACAAAUUUUGUGAAAUCGAAUAUGUGAUAUGUGAUGUACUGUUACUUUUUAUUGAUAUUUUGUUCCUAUACAAACAUUGUAAUAAAUGACGAAUCUAGAUAAAUUUUUUGGAUUUCAGAAUAAUAAAUUAAAAAAAAAUAAUAUAACAGGAAUAUAUGUACAGAUUUGUGCUUUUAAAAUAAACGUAAAAACGAA
RNA transcript from Bombus terrestris (buff-tailed bumblebee), 2262 nucleotides. It is a transcript of the gene named amyloid protein-binding protein 2, with no coding region annotated. The record is from RefSeq and is a predicted model, not a curated record. NCBI's taxonomy places the organism in Eukaryota, Metazoa, Arthropoda, Insecta, Hymenoptera, Apidae. The transcript is spliced from 10 exons.